RNAcentral lists this ribosomal RNA (253 nucleotides) under uncultured bacterium. RNAcentral's name for it is "partial 16S ribosomal RNA". It matches the Rfam family "Bacterial small subunit ribosomal RNA", at positions 524 to 776 of the family's 1533-position model. The record is from RNAcentral.
UACGGAGGGUGCGAGCGUUAAUCGGAAUUACUGGGCGUAAAGCGCACGCAGGCGGUUUGUUAAGCUAGAUGUGAAAGCCCCGGGCUCAACCUGGGAUGGUCAUUUAGAACUGGCAGACUAGAGUCUUGGAGAGGGGAGUGGAAUUCCAGGUGUAGCGGUGAAAUGCGUAGAUAUCUGGAGGAACAUCAGUGGCGAAGGCGACUCCCUGGCCAAAGACUGACGCUCAUGUGCGAAAGUGUGGGUAGUGAACAGG